This 1369-nucleotide ribosomal RNA is filed under the name uncultured Roseobacter sp. Its description in RNAcentral is "bacterial SSU rRNA". It matches the Rfam family "Bacterial small subunit ribosomal RNA". The record is from RNAcentral. Lineage: Bacteria; Pseudomonadati; Pseudomonadota; Alphaproteobacteria; Rhodobacterales; Roseobacteraceae.
UAACACAUGCAAGUCGAGCGAGACCUUCGGGUCUAGCGGCGGACGGGUUAGUAACGCGUGGGAACGUGCCCUUCUCUGCGGAAUAGCCACUGGAAACGGUGAGUAAUACCGCAUACGCCCUUCGGGGGAAAGAUUUAUCGGAGAAGGAUCGGCCCGCGUUAGAUUAGAUAGUUGGUGGGGUAAUGGCCUACCAAGUCUACGAUCUAUAGCUGGUUUUAGAGGAUGAUCAGCAACACUGGGACUGAGACACGGCCCAAACUCCUACGGGAGGGCAGCAGUGGGGAAUCUUAGACAAUGGGCGCAAGCCUGAUCUAGCCAUGCCGCGUGUGUGAUGAAGGUCUUAGGAUCGUAAAGCACUUUCGCCAGGGGAUGAUAAUGACAGUACCUGGUAAAGAAACCCCGGCUAACUCCGUGCCAGCAGCCGCGGUAAAUACGGAGGGGGUUAGCGUUGUUCGGAAUUAACUGGGCGUAAAGCGUACGUAGGCGGAUCAGAAAGUUGGGGGUGAAAUCCCGGGGCUCAACCCCGGAACUGCCUCCAAAACUCCUGGUCUUGAGUUCGAGAGAGGUGAGUGGAAUUCCAAGUGUAGAGGUGAAAUUCGUAGAUAUUUGGAGGAACACCAGUGGCGAAGGCGGCUCACUGGCUCGAUACUGACGCUGAGGUACGAAAGUGUGGGGAGCAAACAGGAUUAGAUACCCUGGUAGUCCACACCGUAAACGAUGAAUGCCAGUCGUCCGGCAGUAUACUGUUCGGUGACACACCUAACGGAUUAAGCAUUCCGCCUGGGGAGUACGGUCGCAAGAUUAAAACACAAAGGAAUUGACGGGGGCCCGCACAAGCGGUGGAGCAUGUGGUUUAAUUCGAAGCAACGCGCAGAACCUUACCAACCCUUGACAUCCUGUGCUAACCCGAGAGAUCGGGCGUUCACUUCGGUGACGCAGUGACAGGUGCUGCAUGGCUGUCGUCAGCUCGUGUCGUGAGAUGUUCGGUUAAGUCCGGCAACGAGCGCAACCCACAUCCUUAGUUGCCAGCAGUUCGGCUGGGCACUCUAAGGAAACUGCCCGUGAUAGGCGGGAGGAAGGUGUGGAUGACGUCAAGUCCUCAUGGCCCUUACGGGUUGGGCUACACACGUGCUACAAUGGCAGUGACAAUGGGUUAAUCCCCAAAAGCUGUCUCAGUUCGGAUUGGGGUCUGCAACUCGACCCCAUGAAGUCGGAAUCGCUAGUAAUCGUGGAACAGCAUGCCACGGUGAAUACGUUCCCGGGCCUUGUACACACCGCCCGUCACACCAUGGGAGUUGGUUCUACCCGACGGCCGUGCGCCAACCUUUCGAGGAGGCAGCGGACCACGGUAGGAUCAGCGACUGGGGUG